AUUUUCGAUGACCCUGGCGGCGUGUUUAACACAUGCACGUCGAACGAGAACGGGAUUAGCUUGCUAAUCUGUCAGCUAAGUGGCGCACGGGUGAGUAAUAUAUAGGUAACGUGCCUUCAAGAGGGGGAUAACAGAUGGAAACGUCUGCUAAAACCCCAUAUGCCUUUAAUGCGAAAGUAUGCAAGGGAAAUAUUUAUAGCUUGAAGAUCGGCCUGUACAGUAUCAGAUAGUUGGUGAGGUAAUAGCUCACCAAGUCAAUGACGCUUAACUGGUUUGAGAGGAUGAUCAGUCACACUGGAACUGAGACACGGUCCAGACUCCUACGGGAGGCAGCAGUGGGGAAUAUUGCACAAUGGGGGAAACCCUGAUGCAGCAACGCCGCGUGGAGGAUGACACAUUUCGGUGCGUAAACUCCUUUUAUAUAAGAAGAUAAUGACGGUAUUAUAUGAAUAAGCACCGGCUAACUCCGUGCCAGCAGCCGCGGUAAUACGGAGGGUGCAAGCGUUACUCGGAAUCACUGGGCGUAAAGAGCGUGUAGGCGGAUAGAUAAGUCAGAAGUGAAAUCCAAUAGCUUAACUAUUGAACUGCUUUUGAAACUGUCUAUCUAGAGUAUGGGAGAGGUAGAUGGAAUUUCUGGUGUAGGGGUAAAA
This 650-nucleotide ribosomal RNA is filed under the name uncultured bacterium. Its description in RNAcentral is "bacterial SSU rRNA". It matches the Rfam family "Bacterial small subunit ribosomal RNA", at positions 21 to 686 of the family's 1533-position model. The record is from RNAcentral.